GGAGAGAUGCCAGAGCGGUCGAAUGGGGCGGUCUCGAAAACCGUUGUCCGCUUUCCGCGGACCCAGGGUUCGAAUCCCUGUCUCUCCGCCA
This 91-nucleotide transfer RNA is filed under the name Bacteroidales bacterium. RNAcentral describes it as "tRNA-Ser". It matches the Rfam family "tRNA". From Rfam's summary of the family: Transfer RNA (tRNA) molecules are approximately 80 nucleotides in length. Their secondary structure includes four short double-helical elements and three loops (D, anti-codon, and T loops). Further hydrogen bonds mediate the characteristic L-shaped molecular structure. tRNAs have two regions of fundamental functional importance: the anti-codon, which is responsible for specific mRNA codon recognition, and the 3' end, to which the tRNAs corresponding amino acid is attached (by aminoacyl-tRNA synthetases). tRNAs cope with the degeneracy of the genetic code in two manners: having more than one tRNA (with a specific anti-codon) for a particular amino acid; and 'wobble' base-pairing, i.e. permitting non-standard base-pairing at the 3rd anti-codon position. Lineage: Bacteria; Pseudomonadati; Bacteroidota; Bacteroidia; Bacteroidales. The record is from RNAcentral.